GAUGAACGCUGGCGGCGUGCCUAAUACAUGCAAGUCGAGCGAACAGACGAGGAGCUUGCUCCUUUGACGUUAGCGGCGGACGGGUGAGUAACACGUGGGUAACCUACCUAUAAGACUGGGAUAACUUCGGGAAACCGGAGCUAAUACCGGAUAAUAUUUCGAACCGCAUGGUUCGAUAGUGAAAGAUGGCUCUGCUAUCACUUAUAGAUGGACCUGCGCCGUAUUAGCUAGUUGGUAAGGUAACGGCUUACCAAGGCAACGAUACGUAGCCGACCUGAGAGGGUGAUCGGCCACACUGGAACUGAGACACGGUCCAGACUCCUACGGGAGGCAGCAGUAGGGAAUCUUCCGCAAUGGGCGAAAGCCUGACGGAGCAACGCCGCGUGAGUGAUGAAGGUCUUCGGAUCGUAAAACUCUGUUAUGAGGGAAGAACAAACGUGUAAGUAACUGUGCACGUCUUGACGGUACCUAAUCAGAAAGCCACGGCUAACUACGUG
This 497-nucleotide ribosomal RNA is filed under the name uncultured bacterium. RNAcentral's name for it is "partial 16S ribosomal RNA". It matches the Rfam family "Bacterial small subunit ribosomal RNA", at positions 28 to 507 of the family's 1533-position model. The record is from RNAcentral.